Molecule: ribosomal RNA, 442 nt
Filed under: uncultured bacterium
Lineage: Bacteria
Description: partial 16S ribosomal RNA
Rfam family: Bacterial small subunit ribosomal RNA
Source: RNAcentral
CCUACGGGAGGCAGCAGUGGGGAAUAUUGGUCAAUGGGCGCAAGCCUGACCCAGCAACGCCGCGUGAAGGAAGAAUGCUUUCGGGUUGUAAACUUCUUUUGACAGGGAAGAGCAGCAGACGGUACCUGUCUAAUCAGCCACGGCUAACUACGUGCCAGCAGCCACGGUAAUACGUAGGUGGCAAGCGUUGUCCGGAUUUACUGGGUGUAAAGGGCGUGUAGCCGGGAUGAUAAGUCAGAUGUGAAAUCCGGGGGCUCAACCCUAGAACUGCAUUUGAAACUGUUGGUCUUGAGUAUAGGAGAGGCAGGCGGAAUUCCUAGUGUAGCGGUGAAAUGCGUAGAUAUUAGGAGGAACCCCAGUGGCGAAGGCGGCCUGCUGGACGACAACUGACGGUGAGGCGCGAAAGCGUGGGGAGCAAACAGGAUUAGAUACCUGUGUAGUC